This is a non-coding RNA of Paramuricea clavata, 73 nucleotides long. NCBI's taxonomy places the organism in Eukaryota, Metazoa, Cnidaria, Anthozoa, Malacalcyonacea, Plexauridae. The record is from the annotation of a GenBank genome assembly.
GACCGCGUAGCUCAGUUGGAAGAGCAUUGGGCUGGUAUUCCAAAGGUCGUAGGUUCGAAUCCCACCGUGGUCG